CCAAUAGCGUAUAUUAAAGUUGUUGCAGUUAAAAAGCUCGUAGUUGAAUUUCGGAAUCUGUCCAUCGGUCGGGCUUCACUGUCCGUACUGGUGUGGUGGGUUCUUACCUUCUGAAUAACCAGCAUGCCAUUCAUUUGGUGCGUUGGGGAAGCAGGACUAUUACCUUGAAAAAAUUAGAGUGCUCAAAGCAGGCCAGUGCCUGAAUACAUUAGCAUGGAAUAAUAAAAUAGGACGGCAUGGUUCUAUUUUGUUGGUUUCUAGGAUCACCGUAAUGAUUAAUAGGGAUAGUUGGGGGCAUUAGUAUUCAAUUGUCAGAGGUGAAAUUCUUGGAUUUAUUGAAGACUAACUUCUGCGAAAGCAUUUGCCAAGGAUGUUUUCAUUAAUCAAGAACGAAAGUUAGGGGAUCGAAGACGAUCAGAUACCGUCGUAGUCUUAACCAUAAACUAUGCCGACUAGGGAUCGGACGAUGUUAAUUUUUUAAUGACUCGUUCGGCGCCUUACG
This 502-nucleotide ribosomal RNA is filed under the name uncultured Glomeromycotina. RNAcentral's name for it is "partial small subunit ribosomal RNA". It matches the Rfam family "Eukaryotic small subunit ribosomal RNA", at positions 591 to 1092 of the family's 1831-position model. Lineage: Eukaryota; Fungi; Glomeromycota. The record is from RNAcentral.